Salvia splendens (bonfire salvia) is the source of this 90-nucleotide small nucleolar RNA. The record is from RefSeq and is a predicted model, not a curated record. NCBI's taxonomy places the organism in Eukaryota, Viridiplantae, Streptophyta, Magnoliopsida, Lamiales, Lamiaceae.
UUAUGGUUGUGAUGAUCAUUUAUCAGCUUAACGCCAGUUCUGCUUCAGAAAAUUAUGAUCGAUAGAGCUGUAUAAUUAUCUGAACCUCAC